This is a long non-coding RNA of Peromyscus californicus insignis, 4698 nucleotides long. RefSeq lists it as uncharacterized. The transcript is spliced from 4 exons. Lineage: Eukaryota; Metazoa; Chordata; Mammalia; Rodentia; Cricetidae. The record is from RefSeq and is a predicted model, not a curated record.
UUCCUAGUGUGAGCGGCGGGAAGGAAAUCCCGAGGCGAGGCACUGCGCACGCGCGGGCUGUCGGGGACGACCGAGGGAGCCGGGGCCUGCGGCUCCGCCUCCGAGCUUCCAAAGGCAACCUUGCGCGGUGCUCGGGGUCACGAGGUUCCCGUCCGUGAUUGGGCGGAGAAAAGCCUUGUGAUUGUCACAGGAUUCGUCCCUGAAGCGUCUCGGCUGAGAAAAUCGGGGAUUUAUUCCUGGGUGGUUUUCUUUAACGUCCUUAUCGGGGUGCCGUGACUUUGCCUGUGCGGGGGUGGAUAAUAUGGAAAGUCAGUGUUCUUAGAAAGGGAAAGGUCGCUGGCUUAAUCUGCGGGAGGCCGAGGCUGUGAUUGAUAAGGGGUCAAAGUUGACGGCACCUCUUUUCUUAGGAAAAAGCCCGAGGCACAUUUUAGGAGGGUUACUUUAAAGUGUUUUUAGGCGUCACACACUUCAGGCUGGUGGGAAGCGGGAGAGCCCUAAUAAGGGCGGCGCAGCCUGGGGGCUGGGGUUACCGCUGCAAGGUUUGCAAGCCUAAGUGCACAGCAAGGCCACUUCCGUUGGGGAACAAGCUUGCAAGCCUCAAUACCUGGUUCUAGAAGUCUAGUGCUUUGGUGUUCUAUUGCCUAUAGCGUUUCUGGUGUUGCCCUGGCGCACUUCUCCUUCCCCACCUCAAGGACUGGGUGGGUUUUUGUUCGUUCGUUCGUUUGUUUGUUUGUUUUUAGAUAGGGUUUCUCUAUGUACCUCUCACUGUUCAGGCUGGUUUCCUACUCAGGGAUCUGCCUAUUUCUGCCUCCGGAGUGCUGGGAUUAAAGGUCUGCACUACCUCCUGACUGUAAAUUCUUUAACAUGUUACUGUGACUGGAUUAAUCAACUAGGUUACUAUAACCAUUGGGUUUGUAAAUAGACGUUCUGGGUGGGAAAUGUCUGUAUUUUCACUGCUGUGAGAUACUGGUUAUUUUUUUUUAAACACCUGACCCUUGGGAUUUUUCUAUUGUAAAAUGGAUAUAAUUAUAUCUACCUCAAGGGGGGGGGCACCUGCUUUAAUCCCAGCACUUGGGAGGCAGAGGCAGGUGUAUCUCUGUAGGUUCAAGGCCAGCCUGGUCUACAUAUUGAAUUCCAGGACAACCAGGGAUACAUAGACCUUGUCUCAAGAAGAGCUGAGAAGAGACCAGGUAUGGAGGUUGCACAUCCAUAAUUCCAGAACUCAGAUUAAGAUAGAGACAUGAGCAUCAGGAGUUAAAGAAUACUUUAGUGAAGUAUUGGAAGUCAUCUGGGCUACAUGAGAUAGACCUUGCCUUAAAAAAAAAAAAUCAAACUGAGAAAGAGUUAUCAGACAUCACCAUACUAUUCCACAACUAAUGACAUAAUGGAAACACCAUUCAGGCCUUGAAACUCAGCAUGUAUGUAGGCAGCAACACCUGCUGAAAAGAAAAAAAAAGAGAACAAAGAUCUAAUCCAUCAAAGUUCCAUAGACUGGAAAGUUCCUAAAUGUACUGACCUUGCUUUUUGGUUUCUGUAGUUUGGCUUCUGGCUAACUGUUCUUGUUAACUAAGGUGUGCCAACUCAGGGUAUGGUUUUUGUUUUUAAAUCUCACCUUGAGAAAGGCUCAGCACUGCACGGGGGUCCUGAACACCCAUUGUAGUCAGAAGCCAGCUAAUAAAGACCUUCUAUUGGCUUAAACCCAUGUCCAAGGAGUCUUCUCUGGUGGAUACCUCACAGCAAUACCAGCUUCCUUUGGUUUCACAUUUUCUCCAAUUUGUAAAGAGAGAUAAGAGUCCAUCCUGGUAGGGAGGCGUGGCAGCAAGCAGCAGGAAGCUGAGAGAUGAUAUUUUCAACUGAAACAGGAAACAGAGAAAGUGAACUGGAAGUCAGUGCCAAAGACUGAGAAAUCCUCAGUGGUGGGAGCUUUGAUGACAUCUGAAUGAAGUGUGUACCGCAGUUCCUGAUGUAGAGGAGUUCUCCAAAGUAUGUGCCGAACAAAUCAAUGAAUAAGACCAAUUAAAAGUUCAAAGCUGCAAAAUGGAGAAACAGUUGCAGGCACUCUCAGAGGCCAGAAGAGGGCGUUUGGAUUCAUUGGAGCUGAAAUGACUAUAGGCUAUAGGCUGCCUGGUACAGGUGCUGGGAACAGAACCAUGGUCUUCUGGAAGAGCCGCCCUGAGCCAUCUCUUCAGUCGGCAGUCAGUUGGUUAACUCUUAAAGCCUCAGUUUUAUCACCUGGAACCUAGAAGCAAUGAUGAGAAGAGAGCACAUGUGGAUUCUGAGGAUUGAACUGAGAUCAUCAGGCUUGGAAGCAAGUGCCUUUAUCAGCUAAGCCAGCUUACUGACCUUUUUGUUUGUUUGUUUGUUUGUUUGUUUGUUAGAGUUUCAUAUAGCCUGGACUAGCCUUGAGUUCCAUAUGCAAUUGAGGAUGACCUUGAACUUCUGAUCCUCCUGCCUCCAUUUCCUAAGUGCUAUUAUCACAGGGGUGUGCCAUCAUGUCUGGGGACUGAACUAGGGCUUUGUGGAUGCUAAGCAAGGACUCUAUCUGUUCAGCAACAUCCCUAGCCUCCUGGCUGUCACCUCACUUCCAACUCUGUUCUUUGUGCCAUGGUCAAGUGUGGAGUUCUAACACAAAGGCUAGUCAUUGCUCUACUUAAAAGACCCAGGAGUUUCCACGAGACUUACAUUGCAAUCCUGGCAUAGUUAGAGCCCCGAACAUCCUGCAGGCUCUGCUGCAGCCUUCUUUUUCAUCUCUCCCGAUUGCCUGCACCCCUCCAUCCCCCUUUCCACUUCCUGGGACUCAUUAAACAGCAACCAGUCCCUGCCUCAAACCGCUACACAAGUUGUCUUCUUUCUCAGGAUGCUUUUCUUGGGGAUCAUAUACAUACAUACAUACAUAUAUAUAUAUAUAUGUAUACACACACACACACACACACACACACACACACAUAUAUAUAUAUAUAUACACAUAUUUUACGUCUCUGUUCAAAGGUCAUAUUCCUAGACAGAUCCUUCUCAACUCUAGUUAAAUUUGCACACUUCCCACUUCCUACUUCCAUUACUCUUCAUUUUAUUACCCAGCUGUAUUUUUCACAUAGCACAUGUUACUUAUUAUUAUAUUGUUCGCUUAGUUUUAUCAUCUAUUCUCUCUCACUAGACUAUAACCGUCAUCAAGUCAAGGACAUUUUCUUUCUUCUUUUUUUUUUACUUCUGUAUCUCUAUGCCCAGGAGCAGUACAAGAAACAUAAAGAUGGUAGGGACUCAGUAGAUACUACUAAAUAAAUGAACUCAUUGGGGAUUCCUGGGAAGAGACUCCACGUGGGUAAUGUUGGUCUGCACCUUAACCCAGAGAGACAUCUUUGGAGCCUCCAGGAUCUCUGUUUCUCUGGUCUCCAAGAUGAUAUAUGUCCAAUGCUCUGAGGGGCAGGGAUGCUUGAAAAACCAUCUGACAACUUAAUGUUCUUGGGAUUUUUAAAAAAAAUCAGAUUGAGGUAAUCUUUACCUUUUGUUUAGAAGAGAGUUUCUGUGAAAACAAAUUCGGUCUCUGUCUCCCCCCCUCUUUCAACUGGGCAAUAAAAAUGACAACAACCAAGGAUUCUUAUUUCUCUUAUCACAUAUUAAAACUAUCUAUGGUUUCAUACUAGGUAUACUUAAGGAAAAAAAGGAUUUCUCACUCUCAACUGGUAGGUGACAUGUUUUUCUCCUGUAGAUAAAAUGUGGUAAAUCAUUAUUUUCCUACAAGUGCAUGUAUGUAAAGCUGAAGCCCCCAAAAGUGACAGAUGUGGGGACAUGGCUGUGGCAAGUCAACGUGGAGCAGUGGGUAAGUGUACACAACCUGCAGCCUCUUGGCUGGAGUUAGGAUGCAGGUUUUGUGUUUAUCUGGAAAGAGAGGAUAACAGCACCUUCCCUGUCAGUUUACUUACGUAGAGUAAAUGAGCUAACUAAUAGAAAAUACUUAGAAUAGUUCCGGGCAUCCAAUAAACACUAGUCACUUCUCAAUACAUGAAACAUCAGCAGGCACUCAGCUCAUGUUAGCUACUAGCUUUUGGUGAGCUGGCAUAGCUAUUAAGAGACAGUUGCAUCUUAUGUAUUGUGUGUAAACUGUAUAGGAGUGGGUAUAAGGACAAAGAAAAGCUGUCCUCAAGGAAACCAAUGCGUACAUAGUACAUAGACAGGGAGGCCCACGUACACAGAUGGCUCAAGAGGAAAUGAGGUGGAGUGAAGGGCUGUGUUGACCAUGCACAGGGAGUGGUGUGAGACAGCUGUCUGGAUCUUGAUUUCCUUUCUUUUCUUUUUUAAUGUUGUAUUCAUAAUUAAUUAAAUUGAGUAUUUCUGUUUACUAAAAGAAUAAAAUAUUAUAAAAUGGGAACAUAUGGCUUAUAACUUAAAAUCUGGAUUCUGUUGACACUGUUUUAUAUGCAAUUAUGUAACAAAUACAUGAAUUUUAAAAAUAUGAUUUCAAACAAUUAUAUUGCAUCAGCUUAAUCUAACAUUUUAUAUUAGAUUGUUUUAUUAUUCUCUAUUAAAAUGAAACUCUUAUUGUUGUUUUAGAUUCAUUUCUAAGCUUAGACUCCUGGAGUAGCAUGGAUAAAUUUGCAUUAAAAAUGUUAGUUUUGGGUCUGAGAUAUCUUUAAUCCACACCCAGUAAGAGGCAGUAUAGUGAACACUUCUGGGAGCAUUGCCAGCUUGGAAAAUUGUCAA